UACGUAGGGUGCAAGCGUUAUCCGGAUUUAUUGGGCGUAAAGAGCUCGUAGGCGGUUUGUCGCGUCUGCUGUGAAAACCCGAGGCUCAACCUCGGGCCUGCAGUGGGUACGGGCAGACUAGAGUGCGGUAGGGGAGAUUGGAAUUCCUGGUGUAGCGGUGGAAUGCGCAGAUAUCAGGAGGAACACCGAUGGCGAAGGCAGAUCUCUGGGCCGUAACUGACGCUGAGGAGCGAAAGCGUGGGGAGCGAACAGG
This 253-nucleotide ribosomal RNA is filed under the name uncultured bacterium. RNAcentral describes it as "partial 16S ribosomal RNA". It matches the Rfam family "Bacterial small subunit ribosomal RNA", at positions 524 to 776 of the family's 1533-position model. The record is from RNAcentral.